UACGGAGGGUGCGAGCGUUAAUCGGAAUUACUGGGCGUAAAGCGCACGCAGGCGGUUUGUUAAGCUAGAUGUGAAAGCCCCGGGCUCAACCUGGGAUGGUCAUUUAGAACUGGCAGACUAGAGUCUUGGAGAGGGGAGUGGAAUUCCAGGUGUAGCGGUGAAAUGCGUAGAUAUCUGGAGGAACAUCAGUGGCGAAGGUGACUCCCUGGCCAAAGACUGACGCUCAUGUGCGAAAGUGUGGGUAGCGAACAGG
This 253-nucleotide ribosomal RNA is filed under the name uncultured bacterium. Its description in RNAcentral is "partial 16S ribosomal RNA". It matches the Rfam family "Bacterial small subunit ribosomal RNA", at positions 524 to 776 of the family's 1533-position model. The record is from RNAcentral.